UCCUAUGUUGAAAUUUAAUCUUUUAGCAAGGUUGUGUAAACAUUAAGAUGCUUUUAUGAAAAUUGAAAUAAGAUGUAUUUUAUUACAUGUAGGUUAAAAUGAAAAUAUGCCAGCUCUUAAAUUAUCUCUCUUUGUUUUAGAUCACAGACAAAUAUGAAAAGAGGAAAAAGAACUUCAAAUGAAGUUGCGGAUACCUCGUCCAAAUGGAACUAUCCUGAUAAAGAAUCUGAAGUUGUAGGUGCAGGAAUUGAAAGAUUCUACCGAAGAUCAUCUAAUUUCUUAAUCAAAAAAUGCAUAGUGUAAGUAAUUCACGUUAUUAUCUCUUAAUUUUGAUAUUAAUUAAAGUAGAUAGAAAGAAAAGUGAUCUAAGCGAUUUUACUUUGUAUUCAUUUUUUGUAUUUAUUUUAAUCACAA
This is a long non-coding RNA of Saccostrea cuccullata (small rock oyster), 414 nucleotides long. RefSeq lists it as uncharacterized. Lineage: Eukaryota; Metazoa; Mollusca; Bivalvia; Ostreida; Ostreidae. The transcript has 3 exons. The record is from RefSeq and is a predicted model, not a curated record.